UCCUUGGUGGACUAGUGGCUAGCAUCCAGCUCUCUCAUCACUGUGGCCUGGGUUCAAUUCUCAGUCAGGGAA
Ameiurus melas (black bullhead) is the source of this 72-nucleotide non-coding RNA. NCBI's taxonomy places the organism in Eukaryota, Metazoa, Chordata, Actinopteri, Siluriformes, Ictaluridae. The record is from the annotation of a GenBank genome assembly.